RNA transcript from Ricinus communis (castor bean), 2819 nucleotides. It is a transcript of the gene named protein SUPPRESSOR OF GENE SILENCING 3 homolog, with no coding region annotated. NCBI's taxonomy places the organism in Eukaryota, Viridiplantae, Streptophyta, Magnoliopsida, Malpighiales, Euphorbiaceae. The record is from RefSeq and is a predicted model, not a curated record. The transcript has 7 exons.
AAAAGAAAGCAAGUCAAUCAUUAGUCCGGAGCACUAACCUCCUCAAGAAGUUGCCCAGCAGAGAGGGAUAAUCCAACUUCCAAGUGAAGUUCUUUUACGAGUACUCGCUUAAAUACAAGUUAGAUCAUCCUAUUUUUCAUCCAUUCCAUUGAGAAAUUACUAAAGAUUUUUGAAACAUGGCAAUAGCACCACCAUCCUCACCCUUCAAUCUUUUCUCUGUAAAUGAUCAAACCCAUAUCCCAUCUUUCUUCAAUAUAACUGAUGAUGGAGAUGAGUCUCAGGUUCAGCUGCUGCUGGAUGCUGCAUUUGCAGAAGAACUACAGUUCCAAGAGGUUCUGAAGGCCUCUCUGUCCAGUUGUCAAAUGCCAUCACUUCAUGUUGCAGAAAAAGGUGAAUCAUCUUUAAGUUCCUGUGAAAUUUGCUGGGAGAGGAAAGAAGAUGAGCAGCUGAUCAAGAAUGGGGCGUGUUCUCAUUCAUUUUGUCCGGACUGUAUGAGCAAGUAUUUGGAGGUAAAGAUCAGAAAGGGCAUCACAAUUGUUACCUGUCCUGGAAUAAACUGUGAGUGUGUCCUAAUGUUGGACAACUUUAAGCAUUUGCUCUCCAAGGACGUAACCAAUCUGUUGGAAAUAGCAUCGCCGUCUACGGAGCUGAUUCCAGAUGUUACUUGCAGCAGCAAGGAAUUGCAAGUGAAGACAAAUUUAGAACAAAGUAAUAGAAAGUGUUUCACCGCUAGAAGGAUCAGCCACGCUAAUUGGGUACCAGCUGAUAGCAAGCAGAUAGUUCUCGGAAAGAAACGCCAGGAGCCAGCUGAGAGAAAUACUAUGGAGGAUUUUAUUUUGCAGCCUAAGAAGUUCCAAUCAGCCAUGAAUUACAGCUGCAAUUCUCAGUCUAGAUUCUCUCUCUGGGAACGAAAUGAAGGGCCUAAAUCAGUUUACAAGCAUUUGAAGAACAUGGCUUCACUAACCACCGGUUCUACUCCAUGCAGGAGUAGCCCAGAAAAAGUUGCAGAUGAUGUAAAGUACAUACCUGCUUUUGAUGCUACUGCUGCUGCCGCUAAUGAUGAUGAUAUGGGUGACAGUGACUCUGAUGUGUUCCCUGAUACCGAUAGCUACGAUUCAGAAGCAAGUCCAAGGAGCUCUGAGACUUGCAAGAAGAGCAAAUGGUUCAAGAAAUUUGUUAACGGAUUGGAUGAUCUAAGCAUUGAGGAGACCAAAGACCUAGUCAGACAAUGGCACUGUCCAGCAUGCCAAGGAGGUGCUGGUGCCAUCAAACGGUACCUAGGCGUGCAGACCCUGAUCCAGCAUGCAAAAGCCAAAGGGUCAACGAGGAUGAGGCUCCAUCGAGAGCUUGCACAACUGUUGGAAGAGAAAUUGCGUGGUGAUCAGGCAACUUCUGUUACUCCAUACAGGAUUGCAUGUGCUAAAUGGAAAGGUCUGAAAGAAGAGCAGAAGGAUCAUGAGAUAGUUUGGCCUCCUAUGGUUUUCAUUACCAAUACAAUCCACAAAAAGGAUGAGAACAACAAGUGGAUUGGCAUGACAACCGAAGAGCUGCUAGACAUGUUCAGAUCAUAUGAUGCCAUUGUCAAGGCUCAGCACGCUUACAAUUGGAAGGGGCAUUGCGGAAUGAGCAUCUUGAUUUUUGAGAGCUCAGCAAAGGGUUAUUUAGAGGCAGAACGAUUGCACAAUCAUUUUGCAGAGGAAGGAACAGAUAGAAAUGCUUGGCACAGUCGGCCAGUCUACUUCCUUCCUGGCGGAGAGCGACAACUUUAUGGUUACAUGGCAGUGAAACAAGACGUGGAUCUCUUCAACAGGAAUGCAGGUAGGACUAAGCUGAAAUAUGAGAUGAGAUCAUAUCAAGAAAUGGUUGUGAACAGAAUCAGGCAAAUGACUGAAGACAACCAUCAGCUUUUGUGGUUGAAGAACAGAGUUGCUGAGCUACAAAGACAGACAAAUGUUCUUGAAGAAUCCAAUUAUGGGUUAAAGGAGAAGCUGUGUAAGGCAGCAAAGGAAAUGGACAUUUUGAGACUGAAAUCCAACCAGCAGUAUGAGCAGAGUAUGGAGGAGUUGGAAUUCCAAGAGCAAUUCUACAAGGAGCAAAUCAGAAGUAUUCUUGAAGCAAGAAAAGGGAAAGAAGAAGAUUUGGAGAAUACAGAUCAAGAAAAUAUGCAGCAGUCAAAUGCAAAAUCUUCAGACAGAAACGAUAACAAAUACAUCUCUGUUCUGUUUGCAGGAAGGAGGAAAUUAGAAAACCUACAGAGAAUCAAGCCAUAGAAAAGGAAGGAGUGUCUGAAAGCAGUAAUAAGCUAAUAAUUCAAGAAGAGGAUAAGGGAAAUCGAACUCUGAGGAAAGUAAAAAUGUUCGACACAGUGAUGAGAAGGAGACUACUCCAAACUAAGCCAGUUCCUGGAGGUGCAGAACUUCCUGACAUUUUGGAGCAGUCAAGUUUCUAUCCUCUACACAUAAAUGAUUACAAUGGAAGAGAGGAGCAAAUUACAAAACCCAUGAAGAAUCAAGAAAUGGAAAAAACGAAGAGCAGAGAGUGUGGAAAGCAUGGUGAUGAGGAGGAGACUCAAAGCUAAGCUAGAAACUAGAAAGUGAUCAGGCAGAUGAGGAAGCACAUCCUCACUGAAAAACCCCACUUUUAAACUGCUAGAUUGCUAAGAUAGUAUAAAAUGUGGUAAUUAAUUCCUAUAUAUGUGUUUAUAACAUGUUCUUUUCCCUGAUUGGGUGUUCAGCUGAAGAUUUGUUUAUUUAGUGAAAUUCUGUUCAAGUUAUUGAUAUGUAUAUGAAUUUGAAUAAAGUGUUCGAAUCUUGUAGCCA